ACGAACGCUGGCGGCGUGCUUCACCCCUGCAAGUCGAACGGAAAGGCCCUGCUUUUGUGGGGUGCUCGAGUGGCGAACGGGUGAGUAACACGUGAGUAACCUGCCCUUGACUUUGGGAUAACUUCAGGAAACUGGGGCUAAUACCGGAUAGGAGCUCCUGCUGCAUGGUGGGGGUUGGAAAGUUUCGGCGGUUGGGGAUGGACUCGCGGCUUAUCAGCUUGUUGGUGGGGUAGCGGCUUACCAAGGCUUUGACGGGUAGCCGGCCUGAGAGGGUGACCGGCCACAUUGGGACUGAGAUACGGCCCAGACUCCUACGGGAGGCAGCAGUGGGGAAUAUUGCACAAUGGGCGGAAGCCUGAUGCAGCAACGCCGCGUGCGGGAUGACGGCCUUCGGGUUGUAAACCGCUUUCGCCUGUGACGAAGCGUGAGUGACGGUAAUGGGUAAAGAAGCACCGGCUAACUACGUG
Molecule: ribosomal RNA, 467 nt
Filed under: uncultured bacterium
Lineage: Bacteria
Description: partial 16S ribosomal RNA
Rfam family: Bacterial small subunit ribosomal RNA
Source: RNAcentral